CAAUAGCGUAUAUUUAAGUUGUUGCAGUUAAAAAGCUCGUAGUCGGAUUUUGGCUGAGAACGAUCGGUCCGCCGUUAGGUGUGCACUGAUUGGUCUCAGCUUCCUGGUGAGGAGGUGUGCUUCACGGCCACUUAGUCACCGUGGUUACUUUGAAAAAAUUAGAGUGUUCAAAGCGGGCUUACGCUUGAAUAUAUUAGCAUGGAAUAACACCAUAGGACUCCUGUCCUAUUUCGUUGGUCUCGGGACGGGAGUAAUGAUUAAGAGGAACAGUUGGGGGCAUUCGUAUUUCAUUGUCAGAGGUGAAAUUCUUGGAUUUAUGAAGGACGAACUUCUGCGAAAGCAUUUGCCAAGGAUGUUUUCAUUGA
Molecule: ribosomal RNA, 365 nt
Filed under: uncultured eukaryote
Lineage: Eukaryota
Description: partial 18S ribosomal RNA
Rfam family: Eukaryotic small subunit ribosomal RNA
Source: RNAcentral